UAUCAGACUUGUAGAUGAUCGUUAUUAUUGUCAUUAUGCUAUUUACCAAAAAUUGGAUAGUUUCUCUUGAAAAAUAUAAAUAAAAUAACCCAAUACAGGAGUGAGAAGUGACGAAGGAGAUCAAGGACUACGAACAUCAUAUCGAGCCGAGAAGCAAACGCAUUGUCUGGAAAAACACUGACUGAGGAAAAGGUUUAAUUCUAGUCAAAGGCUGAAUUUAAAGAGGACUUUUAAAAAGCUUACGACUAUUGGAUGGAAUCCAAUCACGUCUUGCAGAGUCUCGCUGUACAAUUGGAAGGGAUCCGGAAAUUUGCCUGGCCCAAAAGUAAAAAAGACAAACGGACUUGCAAAGAUUCUAUUGAUCCGAAAGAAGAGCAUAUUGUAAUCAAAUACCCCAACCCGCAUUCCCUGAUGGAACUACAGUGGAGAAAUGGGGCUUCUUGCACACGAAGAACAAAUGCGUAAAAUACUGGUGGAAUGGGGAUACUUCAGUUAAGAAUUACUUUGAUUCGGAAGAGAACUGCUUGAACACCUGUUUGCCGGAUGCUAUGAAAAAUGUUACUAUAAUUCAGGGGGUUUGCGUCUGUCGUUGUCCAAGUUGCAAUUCCAACAAUAUAUCCCAAAAGGAAAGCGCAAAACAACCAACGACACCGAAACCCACAAAAUCUUCUGGAAGCAUAUUUGAUUUUCUAAGGGUUCCAUCGUAAAUUUGAAAUUUCAUUAUUAGUAUGAAACAUCGACAACUCGAUAUGAAUAAUCUAAUUAUACAUACACACUCUGUAAAUCGUCGAAAUAAAAUAAUGCACAUUUGCACAUACACCAGUACUAUUGCUUACUGAGUUUCACAUUGUUAAUACGUCGCUGCAAAUUUAUUGCU
Molecule: long non-coding RNA, 877 nt
Organism: Venturia canescens
Lineage: Eukaryota; Metazoa; Arthropoda; Insecta; Hymenoptera; Ichneumonidae
Exons: 4
Source: RefSeq, a predicted model, not a curated record